GCGCAGCUCUUAUCAAUUUCUGUUCGAGAAGUGAGCGGAGAUCAUCUGUGACAAAGCCUUACAGAAAGACUUUGGGGAGGAAAAAAAAAGAAAAUCUCUGGAAUCAACUCCCCGGAAAGUGAGUUGUGAGAGACGAGGAAGACGUGCCAAAGGUCAAAUUAUGACUGCCAUGUCAAGGACCGAGACCUCCGUAUGCGAGUCACGCGCUUUACGUCUGCACCAUCACCACUCCCAGGAACUGACAGUCUGACGGGACGACCUUCCUGCUUCCCGGCUGUCCGACCAUAAAAUCUGCUGCGCUCCUCCUGUGUGUCGCACCAGGACUGCAAGAGGGUUAAAAGCAAAAUAGUGGCUCCAAACUUUAGUUCGGGGAACGACGCAUCGCUUCCAGAACGUAAAGCCUCCGCCAGCAGUCUGAGUGAAGACACAGUGCAGCAUCAUCCUGUGGGGUCCUGGAGGAAAACUCGCCAUAGGCUGCUAAAGAAUUUCCACCAAGUCAUGUCAAUUGAGGUUUUCGGUCCUUGAAAAUGACCGACAGUGACGCCGAUGUCAUGCUGGGUAUGUCUGAGCUCAUUUUCUCUGUCAUUUUCAACCUACAAUGUCUGUUGAGUGAUUUUCAACGUCAUGCUAUACUAUUUCUCUUUCCACCUAAUUUUUUACAUCAUUUUAUACUUUGAGUCAUUUUCGCCCAUUUUGAACGUCAUCAUUUUCCUUGUCAUAGAAUACUGUGACAUUUUACCUAAUUUUCAAUGUCAUAUUAUACCAUGUCUCAGUUGGCCUCAUUUUUGAUGUGGGUCAUUUUACCUCAUUUCAACAUCAUGAUAUAUUCUACGUGUAAUUUUACUUCAUUUUCAACAUCAUAUUAUAUACUGAAUUUCGACGACAUUGUGUCAGUUUCACUCUUUUCCGUUGUGCCAUUUUACCUCAAUUUCAGUGUCAUAAAACAUCGAAAUUUUUAUGAAAAUGUUGCCAAAUUUUUGAAGUGAUAGCAUACAAUGUGUCAUUUUACAUUUAAGUAUUAUACUAUGUUAUUUUACCUAAAUUUUGACACCCAAAUAUACUAUGCGUCAGUUUACCUUUUUCUACAUCAUAAUAUGCUGUGUAAUUUUACCUCAUUUCAACAUCAUGAUAUAUUCUAUGUGUAAUUUUGCCUCAUUUUCACCAUCACACCAUAUACGAAGCCAUUUUAUAAUUCAUGCUAUUCUAUGUCUCAUUUUGCAUCAUUUUUAGAGGUUAUGCUUUUUUACUUGUCAUUUUGCCUCAAUUUCAACGUCAUUUUAGAGAUCAGUCAUUUUGCCCCAAUUUCGACAUAUUAGUAUAAUAUGUGUCAUUUUAUACUAUGUCAUUUAGCCUCAUUUUAGAGGUCAUGACCUCUAAACUGUGGCAAAAUGACACAUAUACCAAUAUGUUGAUAUACUAAUAUGUCAUAGCAUGACCUCUAAAAUGAGGUGAAAUGAGACAGAAUACUAAUGUCAAAAUUGAGGCGAAAUUACACAUAUGUAUUACUUUUAAAAUGUGACAAAAUGAGACAUAGCAUAGCAUGACCUCUAAAAUGAGGCGAAAUGACACAUAGCACAGUAUGGCAUUGAAAUAGAGUUCAAAUGAGACAUAAUUCUAGAGGCCAUGCUAUACUGUCUCAUUUGCACCUAAUUUUGACAUCAUACAUAUUUUAGAUCGUACAGUAUGUACAAUCUACGUUAAAAAUCAAGUAAAAUGACAGCAUGGCUUGUUGUUGAAAAUAAGCUCAAAUGAAUAAUAUAAAAUGACAUUAACAAUAAUUUGUCAUUGUUAAUGUUAUUCUGUACUAAAUGAGGUAAACUAAUGUAGCAAUGCAUGACUUUGAAAAUUAUACAGCAUAGUAUAAAGUCAAAAUUCAGCUCAAAUGACAAGGUUAGCAUAAUGUCUAAAAUGAGUUAAAAUGUCAUGUAGUAUACUCUAACAUGACACUGACAUGAAAGAAGUAAAAUGCCGUCUAAAACGAGGUAAGUAUGACGUUAAAAAUGAAGCCAAAUGAGACACAGUAUAGCAUGAGGUAGACAAUGAGGUAAAAUGUCACAUGGGAUGUUGAAAAUGAGCAGGAGACGUAGCAUUAGCAUGUCACAAAUGAGCUCAAAUGAUGCAUCGAAAUGGCAUCAAAAAUCAGUGACAAAUCAACUGAUGUCAAAAAUCAGCUCAAACUACAGAGAGCCUGUUGAAAAUCAACUAAAAUGCCGCAAACCAUCUAUGGCGUUGAAAAUUAGCUCCAAAUGACAGCAUGAUGUCAGCAAUGAAGCCCAAUGACAGACGCAGCACACAAACAGAGCAGAGAUCGGGAAAACCGUUAUUAAAAUGUCUGAAGUGGAAUUUGGUGAAUAGCAAUAUGGAAAAUAAAAAAAGUGCUUGAACUUUUUUUUUUCUAAGGUUGCAAACAUGUCACCCACUGAGUCAGUGUUUGUUCUCCCGCUGUCCUAAACCUCACAGAUUACCAGCCAUGCCGAGAGAAUCUGAACUGUUUUAUAGGCUGAAGAUAUUGGCACUGUGAAAGCAUCCUGGUGAGGCAAGCAGCUGUGUUGGCCAUAUUGUGUAUCGAUCCAACUUGCGCUGCGAUGGCUGCACUUAAUCAGAUUUAUAUUGUAAACAAAGACUCGUAGUAUGAGAUGUGAAUUAGCAGGUAAAUGUUAUCCAUCAAAGGAAAUAAUAAUAUUUUGUGCAGCGCGAUGCAGUAUUGGUAUUUCAGAGAUUUAUCUGGCCUGGUUUACUGCAGGAUGCUUGUGUCGCCUCUGCAGGCUCUGCUCACCAGAACCUUUAACUAAAUGGACACGUGCCCUAAAAUUUAAUUAGUUUAUCUGAUGGGUUUAAUUGUGACAAAAAUGGAAGAAAUCAGUAAGAGGGAGAACAGUUUUUCAAAGAGAAGUGGAAAAAGAGCCCCAAUCUUUCAAAUCUACCGAUAUUCACACUCUGCAGGUCUCUUAAGAACAUGGAUGCAGAUAAUGAAGGAACCCCACGAUGAUCUGUCCUUAUCAGAUUAGAAGAUGAAACGGCAUAACGGUGAACAUUGUCGGAUAAUCCUCAAAACAUAUCGUGCAGAUAAUUAGAGUCUCAUUUAUUAAAAAUAUCCCUACAGCACCAAGCAGCUAGUUGAGAAAUAAAGAGACUACAUCUAAGGAGUAACUUCCAUGCCUGCUACGUUUAUAUUGUCUUCUACAGAAUAUUUUAAUCAGAUCAAAGGAAAAAAGGGGGUAAAGCUUCUGCUUUCUAAGAAUUAAAGUGCUGAUUUUUCUGCAUGAAAUAACUGACAUGUUCUGGGGCCAUCAGAUCUACAGUGACUGAGUCAGAUAAAUGAUUCAGAAAACAUAAUGAUGCUGUUGUGUUUCUAAUCUUUACAACUUCCACACAUCAAAAAGUUUGCUGCAGCCUUCUUGGUUUACUUCUUAUUCCAUCGACUCAAUUUAUGUUUUCAUAUCAAAUAUAAAAAAGAUAUCUAACGAAUUUACACAUUUUCUAAAGAUUACCUUGUUUUUAUCCUGUGUCCUAGAUAAAAAUUGUAGUCAAAGUUUACUGCGUUAAAGUGUUUUGCAUCAUUUUUCCUGCAGAAUUAAGAACUGAAUUUCUUGAUGCGCUUAAAGAAGUCAAAUAAAAACAGCUCAAUUCCACCCAGAUAUUUUUUUUCCUGCAUGGAUUCAUUGAUAAUGUUGUUUACCGUUUUGUAUGGAAAGUAAUUCUGGUCCAGGGCUCAACUGUUUAUCAGUUUCGCUCCUUGGUAAAGCUGUGAUACUGCUGCAGUAAAAUGUAUCCUUUGUUUUCCAUAAAAGGUACUCCAUGCCCAGAACAUCCGGUUUGUUUGAGGAGGUUUGAAUGUCAGAUUGUACUCUGGUCCACCUAAAAACCGUCUGGUUGAAGUGAACUCUGAUUCUUCUGUCUGGAGAUGGCUCCAAAAUUGGGAGGUGGACUAUAGCGCAGGGCAUUCUGGGUAAAUAAAUAUAACCAAAACAAUUGCAUGAGUCUAACGUUAGCUGUACAAGUGGGUCGGGGUGUUUUACCAAAGACAAAAGAGAAACUGCUAAAAUUUGACGCCGCUCCAUCGUUGUUUACAUUUCAUGAAGGAGGAAGUCACAUUCGGUGUCGUCUUCAGAGCUUUUUAUGCCUUUUCCUUUCAUGGUGCAGCGCAAGGCACUGUGCUUUUUAUGACUGUAAAAUGUCACAAAAUGGACAUUAAUUAUUAGAAAAUGCUGACAUGUUCAGCUGUCUUCAGAGAUCUGAAAAAAAAAAGAUGAGCUGCCCAGGUCUUCGUUCUGAAAAAUAAUCUGUAAAAAAUACCUGAAAACCUGCAAAACAAAUGAAACACACAUUCAUGAACGGAAACCAGACCUCGCGCCACCGAAACCACCUGCACGUUUCUUGUUUUGUUUUUUUGUUUUUUCCAUGUAUUUAAUUUAUUCUUAAAAUAUUUCAUGAUAAAAAAAUGUAUUUAUAUGACUAUGUUUGCAGUGCUUCCUUUCGGUACCGUUCCUCUCUGCUUCCUUCAUUGUCCGGAUCGCCAACGGAGAGAGGCUGGAUUUGUGCGAACGAACACAAGCACCAAAAUAAAUUAAGAGAUCAAAACCCGUUGAGGGGGAAAUGAAUCAGUAUUCCACAUCGUGUACAAUACAAUAUCAUAGCAAAUUAGCAGAUUUCAAUGGCGUCCACUCACUACCAUAGAUUUACAAUGUUCUGUUGGCUGCACAUCAGUCCUCAAGAAAUUGUGUCGCUCUCCUUUUUUUUCUCUUUUUUUUUCUUGUCGUUAAUGGUUCUAAUAAGACUGACUUGUAGAUGACCAUGAAAAGAAAGCAGCUACCGAGGUGUGAACAGAAAACCAUAGACUACGAGCCAGCAGUAAUGAGAACAGCGUUUGUUCACGUUCUACUAAACUGCCAUUGUGACCACAUUUAAGUCCAAUAAGCUUCUCUACAAAGGUACAACAUAUAAAAUUGUUAAAUAUAUAACUUUUUAAGGGCCUUUCAAAAUACAUUUAAUGGCAAUUCUUCGCUCUUCCCGUUCCGACUCGACAGUAUCCGUCCGUACUCUCCGUAGACGUGUAGCGUUUCCUUCGACGUGAUUCUGUCCGAAAACCAUAGCUACUGAAAAAUCACAAAUCAGAUUUUUGUUUUUUGUUUUUUUUUUUGUUGUUGAUACAUAGUUAUACGUAUGCAGUACCUAUAGUUCCAGUUCCAAAAUACAAGUUGUGGGCUUCAGCCUGAAGAAAAAAAAAAAAAAAA
Molecule: long non-coding RNA, 5234 nt
Organism: Poecilia reticulata (guppy)
Lineage: Eukaryota; Metazoa; Chordata; Actinopteri; Cyprinodontiformes; Poeciliidae
Source: RefSeq, a predicted model, not a curated record